Long non-coding RNA from Homo sapiens (human), 1155 nucleotides. Ensembl annotates it as peptidylprolyl isomerase E like (pseudogene). Its record names the gene PPIEL. The record is from Ensembl. NCBI's taxonomy places the organism in Eukaryota, Metazoa, Chordata, Mammalia, Primates, Hominidae.
ACGGUGCGGGCUUCCGGCGGAAGCGCUGGAAGCAAGAUGGCGGCCGCCGAGAGGGUUCACAAAGGCUCUGGUCCAUUAGAGGAAGGAGGUCCCAGAAUAGCUGGGAAAUUACGAGAACAGCCUCACUGCACGAGUUGGUGAAUGCUGUGAUGGCGAUUGUAUGAUGGACGGUGAUGUUGAAACCAGACUGGGGAAUGACCGCCCCAUCCGGAGAGAGACGGGGUCUUGCUCUGUCAUCCAGGCUGGAUUGCAGUGUCAUUGAUCAUAGCUCAAGCGGUCUUCCUGCCUCAGCCUCCCAAAGUGCUGUGAUUACAGGUGUGAGCCACUGCACCUGGCCUCUUCAUAUCUUACAACGAAAAGCACCAAGGAUUCUCUUUUGUUGAAUUUGAGUUGGCAGAGGAUGUUGCAGCAGCUGUCAACAACAUGUUUGGUCAGAUGAAGACUGGGUGGAGAAGUUUGCUGGGAAGAGGAUAAAGAGGAAGGUGGUUGAGACUUCCCAAAGCAGAAAGCCAGGAGCGCAGCCCAUUUACUGCCUUCUCCAGGAAGCUUUUCUGAAUCCUCCAGUGAGUAAGGGAGAGCCCACUGCUAAAAAAGGCCUAGUCAAAUCCUCAGGUGUACAUGGACAUCAAGAUUGGGAACAAGCCGGCUGGCUGCAUCCAAACCCUCCUGCGUUCCGACGUCGUGCCCAUGACCACAGAGAAUUUUCUCUACAUGUGCACCCAUUUAAAGGACUCGGCUUCAAGGGAAGCAGCUUCCACCGCAUUAUCCCCCAGUUCAUUUGCCAGGGCAGUGAUUUCACAAACCACGGUGGCACCAGGGGUCUGCGCAGGCAUGGCACUAAGUGUCCCAUGGCACAUUUGGCCCUCAUGGAGGCCUCAAAAGGGCAGGACCAGCACCCUCUUCUACGGAGGAAGGAACGGGCACAGCAGAAACAAGGAGAGUCAGCAAUUACCAGCCAGCCAAGGUCCUGGAAGCUGACGUAGAGCUCGUGCCGACGGCAGACCUGCCGGCCGUGGGAGCCGCGGACGUCAUCUGCAGGGACAGAAGGGGCAAGGUCUUUUCUGGGGUUCCUGCUGUGUGCAGCUACUAUGGGGUACCAGGGUGGGGGAUGCCCUGAUGAGCACAUUUGUCAAAUAAAUGAAUGACAGGAAACCA